CAGGGGUUGCAUGAGGCCAUAGCAAAAGCACUCACAGUGCUGCCCUGUCAGAUUCCAACAAAUCUGCAAAUUCUGCU
Molecule: ribozyme, 77 nt
Filed under: Alligator mississippiensis (American alligator)
Lineage: Eukaryota; Metazoa; Chordata; Crocodylia; Alligatoridae
Description: Mammalian CPEB3 ribozyme
Rfam family: Mammalian CPEB3 ribozyme
About the family: The mammalian CPEB3 ribozyme is a self cleaving RNA located in the second intron of the CPEB3 gene which belongs to a family of genes regulating messenger RNA polyadenylation. This ribozyme is highly conserved and found only in mammals.
Source: Rfam by way of RNAcentral